AAGACAUACAUAAUAUCCGUACUAGCAUGCUUCGAGGGAAACACCUAGAUAAAGAUGAUUGUAAGAGUACAGACAAGCUAUUAACUGGUCCUUUCAAAGAUGAUGUCAUAUUUUAUCAGCCACUGGGUAAGGAUCAGGACCUUAUUAUUGUUCUCCAGACUGAGUUCAUGAGAAAAGACUUACAAGACUAUGGGAGUAACAUUUUGUUUUUUGAUGCUACACACUGUGUGAAUCAAUAUUCCUUUCCACUCUAUACAUUGCUUGUGAGAGAUGACCAUGGUCAUGGUGUUCCUGUUGCAUACAUAAUAACGAGCAGGGAGACCCAAGAAACCCUUAAGCUUGCACUUCAGAGGCUACGACCUGUGUUCCCUAAGCCGCCAAGGUGCUUCAUGGUUGACAAAGACAUGAGUGAAAUUAAUGCUUUGAAUGAAGUUUUCCCUGAAUCUGAUGUUCUUCUCUGCUGGUACCAUGUACUUCAGGCUGUCGUUCGGUGGUUGAUGAAGACCGAAUCUGGUGUUACUGGGCCACACUUCUCAAAUACCCGGAGAGAAAUUCUAGAUUUCUUUAAAAAAAUGAAAGCUUGUGCAACGAAGACUGACUUUGAAAGGGUUGCAAAAAAAUUUCUUAGCAACUUUUCUCACUACCAAGAGGUUUGCAAGUACUUCCAGAGGUACUGGGAACCAAUAAGUCAAAGAUGG
Paramisgurnus dabryanus is the source of this 698-nucleotide long non-coding RNA. RefSeq lists it as uncharacterized. The record is from RefSeq and is a predicted model, not a curated record. Lineage: Eukaryota; Metazoa; Chordata; Actinopteri; Cypriniformes; Cobitidae.